Long non-coding RNA from Vombatus ursinus (common wombat), 1891 nucleotides. NCBI's taxonomy places the organism in Eukaryota, Metazoa, Chordata, Mammalia, Diprotodontia, Vombatidae. The record is from Ensembl.
GGGGACAGUCCGGGUGAACCACUCCCCCCCCGGGGCUUGUGUAUCCUCCUGGGGCUGAGGCUUGGGGUGAAGGGUCAGAUCAGCAGUCCUGGACUGAGCUCUGUGGGGCCGAGGGGGUGUUUGACGUGGAUGCAGGGGGCUCCCCAGGAUCACGACAGGGCACUUUGUGGAUGAGUACAGCGAGCAGGGUGGGAGUGGGGCCAGCCUGGAAAGGGCUAGGAGAGUCAAUCCUUCGGGGUUUCUGAAGUGAUUAUCCUGUGCCAGGCCCGGGCUGCCAGCUGCCUCAGGGGACACAAAAGGAGGUGAUAGAAAUGUGCCUGUGAGAGGAGAUGGGGGAGGGCUUGGGGGAAGAAGCUGGAAAUGGCCCAGAAGGUGGGGGCAUUUCCUGGGGAUCUCUGCUCCAGCUGUGCCUGGCCACUUGCAGGCGUGUGCCUUUGUACGUGUGGGCACACAUUUAUUGGGGAAGCAGUGCUUUUAUAGCUGGGGCCCAGGGCCCGGUAGAGGGGUGCCUGGGCCUUUGUUCCUCACCUACCUCUUCUGACUUGGUGGGUCUGACCCCUCCCCCCUUUCCUCCUUUGACUUUGGUGGGUCUGGCCCCACCCCCUCCUCCUUUGAUGGUUAUAUCUUUCUCUUCCAGAGCUCUUCGUGGAGCUCCUGGGCAUUGGUGGCCCUGCAGCCAUGGUGAUCCUGAGAUGCAGUUCCCUGAGGCCUCUUCCAAGAACUUUAAGGCAGGGACAGAUGUGAAGGGUGAGAUCCUGUACCUGGUGGCCCUGCCUGGUGUGAUAGGACUUUGGGAAAAGCCUUGGCCCACAUCUGGAGAAGGAGCUAUAGCGCCUCAAGACUCUGUCCACCCCCGAAAAAGGAGCAUGGAGGAGGAGGAGGGAGUGGCUUCAGGCUCCCGUCCGGCCAGAUCCCAGGUGAGCUGGAGUUUGUCGCGUCUAGCCCGAGCCCUUCCUUCUGGACCUUAGCCCGUUACUCUCCAGCGCCAGGCCUGGAGUUAGGAAGACCUGAAUUUAAAUCCGGCCUCCGACGCUUCUAGCUGGGUGACCCUGGGCAAGUCCCUUCGCCGCUGCCUGCCUCAGUUUCCUCAUCUGUAACAGGGACAGGAACAGCAUCUCCCUCCCAGGAUUGUUGUGAGGAUGAAAGGAGAUAGUACGUGGGGCACGCUGUUGCUGUUAGACAGGUCUAACAGGAACUGGAGGAAUUCUCAUCAGAGUCUUAGUAGGCUGUCUUUAGGAUUCCCCAGAUUCUUACGGGUUUGUUUGUAUGUCAACACAAUCAAUGAGGAUAUGAUGAAGAAGAUUUUCAUUGCUGGCUUGUGUUUUUUACAUUGUCUUCAUUUCUCCUACGUCCCUCCUGCUCUCCCAGCAGGAGAGCCGUCUAGCGUGAAGAUCGAGAAAGAGCCGUUCUGCGCCCCCCCCUCCCCCCGGGUCCCAGGGAGACCCGACGGCCGCAGAGCGGCUUCCACUGGGGGUUUCAGUGGUAGAAGCGUGUGCGCUGUUCCCCUUCACGCUGCUCUGCAGCCCACAGCUGGUUUUUCUGGAUGUCUCGUAUCGUUACGCUGCGUGAGUUCCCCUUUGCACUCUCCUUCCGACCUCUCGGGGAUCUCGGUGGCCUAGCAGAUGGACCUGAGUUCAGAUCCUGCCACAGACAUCUCCACGGCUAGGUUUUCCUGUGCUCUAUGAUUCUUGCAUCUUGUGGCCCGGCGAAGUGCCGAUGUGGUCACGUCCCUUGUGUCCUUUGCAGAGAUCUCUGUCCGUUGUCUCCUUUCCCUAGUUUGUUCCCACGUCUUUGCUACCACCUCUCUUUGUCAGUCCUUGGCUUCUGUAGGCAUGGCCCGGGCCUCAUGGCCACGUGGCCUGUGUCGGGCAGCCUCACUGGCUCCUCCUGC